CAUUUUCAGUAAAGAAGUCCUGAGUAAACACGUUGUCGUUGAAUACCGCUUCUCUGCCGAACCUUAUAUUAGUGCCUCAAGCAGUAAUGUCUCAGUUUUAUCUAUGUUAGGCCUGCGGGCUAAGAAAACACUCUAAGGAAUUUUGCAAAUGGCAAAGAUUAAAGGUCAAGUUAAGUGGUUCAACGAGUCUAAAGGUUUUGGCUUUAUUACUCCGGCUGAUGGCAGCAAAGAUGUGUUCGUACACUUCUCCGCUAUCCAGGGUAAUGGCUUCAAAACUCUGGCUGAAGGCCAGAACGUUGAGUUCGAAAUUCAGGACGGCCAGAAAGGUCCGGCUGCUGUUAACGUAACAGCUAU
This 354-nucleotide small RNA is filed under the name Citrobacter farmeri. RNAcentral's name for it is "cspA thermoregulator". It matches the Rfam family "cspA thermoregulator", at positions 28 to 370 of the family's 428-position model. The record is from RNAcentral. Lineage: Bacteria; Pseudomonadati; Pseudomonadota; Gammaproteobacteria; Enterobacterales; Enterobacteriaceae.